GCAUGUGGAGGUUCCCAGGCUAGGGGUUGAAUCGCAGCUGUAGCCACGGCCCUAUGCCACAGCCACAGCAACACCACAUCCAAGCCGCGUCUGCGACCUACACCAUAGCUCAGGGCAACGCCAGAUCCUUAACCCACUGAGGGAGGCUAUGGAUCGAACCUGUGUCCUCAUGGAUGCUAGUCAGAUUGGUUUCCGCUGAGCCACAGUGGGAACUCCCCAGCCACUCCUUCUGAGACACCAAGUCCACUGAGGCCUUGUGCUCUUUUUUUCCCCGGCACUGGGAGACCAUCACCCACCCAUUCCCUCUUAAAUGAGCCCUGGCACUCACAGAGGAUGUGCCAGCCCACCCCUGCCUCGGCCCAACCACCCUCACCCCAACGUGCCAAAGCAGUUGCUACAGGGGCACGGCCCAAGCCUCCAGAAGCCUGGCCAAGACUCCCAGGUGAGGCCCACUGAGUUGACCUGGACCCUGGCUCUCUGUAGGGACUCUUGGGGAGGAAGGGGGUCCCCACGGGGUCUGGGCAAGCCAGCCGCCACCUGCCUGCACCAGUGACAGUCACUGGCCUCCUUACUGCUGGAGGUGAGAGAUGUAGCAGCGUGGGGGUGCAGGGCAGAGCUGCAGAAGGGGUCCCUCCCCGGGGCGGUACUUCCAACCUCUGGGGGCACCACCCUCCUCUGCCCCAUCACCGAGGCGCACACCCGCUCUGCCCGGGCCCCUCUUGCCACCUGCCCGUUUUCAUGAGGCUUGGGACCUGGAGACCCCACCCCUGACGCCAGAACCAAUGAUUCCCUGCAGCCCCAGAAUCCCCUCCUACCCCUCAACUGGGAGAGCUGAGAGGAGCAGCCAAGCCUCCCCCAGACGGGGGGCUGGGUCUUCUCUGAGACCUGGGACACCCCACCCAGUGACUUGGGGGAGUGCCGGGAUCCCCCCUGCCCCCCAGAAGGAGGGUUCCUGAGGGUCCCGCCGGGAUUGGUUAGCCAGAGACACUGUGGGCCUGCAGGGGCCCUGGGGAGGCAGAGGUCGGGCCCCCAGCCCCGGGCCCGGCAGGUCGUCCCUGGGUGUGGCCCCUCCUGGGGGCACGGAGGGCAGGCUGACUUGUGUUCCAGGGUGCAUGCUCUCUUGGGGUGUGGAGGACCAAAGUGGGGUGAUGGCGUGCUGGCUGCCGUGUGUGGCCCUGCGCGGGAGCCAGCCUACUGACAGCCAGCGGGGCAGAGCAGGCUCACCCUGGGGCCGCCCCGGGCGGGGAACCACCCGGACCUGAGACCCACAGCCCUCUGGACCCUGAGCUCCCCCGGGUGCUCCAUCCCAUGUCCAGGGCCAGGAGCCCUGAGCACAGCAGGCAAGGAGUGGGGCCAGCUCCUCGGAGCGGGGGGUGGGUUGGGGUGGAGGUAAGGCUAGGGCUGCAGGUCCCGCCCCCCCCCCCAGCUGCAGCUCCUGGGGUCUCUCCAGCCUCCUGGGAGGAGCAGGUGGACGUGGAGCCUCACCCCACCUCCGAUCUCCACCUCCCACCCAGACGGCGGGUGGAGCCAGGCUCUGCAGGGCAGCUCUCCCUGAGAGUGAGCUGGGAGACCUGCAGAGACGUCUGAGGAUCUCAGCCGCCCCUGCGGAGUGGGGGGGCAGGCCUCUCGCUCCUGCCCAGGGUCAGAUCUUGGCACCAAGGAAACUUCUGGGGCCUAAUGGACCCGUGGAGGCGUCCCAUCCUUUUAAUUUUUUUCUUUUCUUUUCUUUUUAGGGCCACACCUGUGACAUAUGGAGGCUCCCAGGCUAGGGGUCGAAAUGGAAGUACAGUUGCCAGCCUACACCACAGCCAUAGCAACUCCAGAUCUGAGCUGCAUCUGUGACCUACACCAUAGCUCAUGGCCACGCUGGAUCCUUGACCCACUGAGGGAGGCCAGGAAUCAAACCUGCGUCCUCAUGGAUACUAGUUGGGUUCUUAACUCACUGGGCCAUGAUGAGAUCUCCAAGGGACCCCAUCCUUGAGCCUUCCACACCUCCCACUGGACUCCAGACCCCAGUCGGCCACUUGUCCUGCCCCAGGCCUGCCUGUGCUAGCCAGCACUGGCUGCCACCACCCUGGGGACAAGGUCGGGGCCAGCACAGGCCAGAUUGUUGAAGAGGUGAGUCUUGGGAUGGAUAUGGGGCUCCCUCUGCCCUGGAGUCCUGGCUCUUGAGCCCGCCCUCCUUAGGGACCUGGAGGCAGGACUGUCACAGCAGGGCCUCGCUCUCACACUACACCUGCAGGAGGUGCAGCAGCAGAAUCUUCCCUGAGGCCUAGAUCUGGGUGGGGAGGCCGCCUUUCCAGCCAGAGGGCAGUGAUGCCCAGGCCUCUCUCCCAGCAAGGCCCCCCCUUCCUCCUGCGGCCCCUGGGCUUUUCCUUGGAAUCGGCUCUGGCUUCCAGUAAAAUAAACACAUUAACCACUUGGCUGGCCCAGGCUGUAGGCAGAGGCAGAGCCAGCUGCAGAGGCCAGCGCCCGCCCAGCUCAGCCUGCUGCGCCUGCACUCCCCACCCGGGGCUGGUGCUGGCACGGCUCGGGGUGAGCAUGUGGGUGGGAUUGGGGUGCUGUGGGGGAGGAGAGUUUGGGGGGGACGGGGCAGGCUCUGGCCUGGGCCUGGUGGGUGACCACCUGGAGGCCCAGGCUGGCUGCCACCACUCCGGCCAAGGUCAGUCACGAGGGGGUCACCCCAGCUCCCUCCUCCUUAUCCCACAGCCGCCCCCCCUCGGGGGGGCAAGGAACAGCAGCCUGGCUGGGGUGGGGGGAGGCCCGGCGUCUCUCCAGAGGGCUGGGUGUCCUCGCACCGUGUGGCAGCCGCCCCCAGAGGGAUGAUUCAAAGCAGCCUCGGAGGCUCUGCCGACUGGUCCCGGAAAGCCAGCGCCGUCACCCCGGCUGCCUCCUGUGGGCACAGUCCUCCAUCCAGGCCCCACUCGAAAGGAAAACUGGCUCCACUUUGGGAAUGCCCUGGAGGACACAGACCCUGGACCCUGAGAGGAAGGGGAGGGGUGGCAGGUGCCAGACUAGGAUUGCUGUCUGGGCCACGACCCCCGGUCCCCUGGCAAGGGCACCGCUGGUCCUUCCUUCCACCCCAGCCCAGAAGUCUCCAGGCAGUGCCCCUUCCAGGUGGGUCUCGGCAGGGGGUGGACUUGACCAUCGAGCGGCCAGAGGGCUGUGCAGACCCUGCCCCCUCCCCUGCCAUGCACACCCCAGCUGCUCAGCCACGGUGCCCCCCUUUGCCUCUUCUCCUGGCCUGGCCCAGGCCCCUCACCGGGCCCUGGGGGUUCAGGUGUGGCAGUUCUGCCACUCGGCCCCUGAGAGCAGCCUGGGUGACAGAGUGUGCUGUGGUCAGCCUCAUUUUACCCAGCUGGUCCUGUUUCUGAAGGCGACGCCUGCAGUCCUGCUGCCUGCCGACCCCGAAGCGGGAAGCAGCGCCGGAGGGCGAAGCAAAGGCCACGUGCUUGCUUUUAGAAAAGUACCCGCGUGGCCUGGGAGCGACAGAGGCCCACGCCCCCGGGGGUCAGGUGGGGCGAUACUCCCUUUCUCCUUUGCACUUUUCUAGGCUUUCCCAGUGUUCCUGCAGGGAGUGUCUAUUUGUUGAGUCUUUGCCUUUUUUCCAGUUGAGGUUAUGUUCACAUAACACGCACUUAGUAUGUAAAGUGUGCAACUCAGUGGCGUCCGUGCACUCCCAGUAUUGUGCAAACACCAGCCCUCGCUCGUCUCAGAACUUCUUCACCACCCCGUAAAGACCCUCCCCGGAUCCGAGACGUCGUCGCGCCCCGUUUCUCGCUCCCGAAUCCUCCGGGAAUGGCUGACCCGCGCCGCCCCCGUGGACCCGCCUCGUCCGGGUCUGCCACGUGAAAAGCACCCGGGGAGGGGGGCCGGCGGCCUUUGAGUCUGGCUGCUUUCACGCUGCAGUGUCCUCAGGUCCACGCACGUUGCCUCUGCCCCUUCACUCCCUUUAGGGGUGAACGCCAACCCACAGUUGGAGGUCCAGUUCUCCGUGGACAAUGGGGUCAUUUCCCCCUUUUGGAGAUUGUCAGUAACGUGUCUAUGAACAGGAAAGGUUUUUAGUUU
Molecule: long non-coding RNA, 4068 nt
Filed under: Sus scrofa (pig)
Lineage: Eukaryota; Metazoa; Chordata; Mammalia; Artiodactyla; Suidae
Description: lncRNA (ENSSSCG00025072686.1)
Source: RNAcentral